Molecule: ribosomal RNA, 486 nt
Filed under: uncultured bacterium
Lineage: Bacteria
Description: partial 16S ribosomal RNA
Rfam family: Bacterial small subunit ribosomal RNA
Source: RNAcentral
AUUGAACGCUGGCGGCAUGCCUUACACAUGCAAGUCGAACGGCAGCACGGGUGCUUGCACCUGGUGGCGAGUGGCGAACGGGUGAGUAAUACAUCGGAACAUGUCCUGUAGUGGGGGAUAGCCCGGCGAAAGCCGGAUUACUACCGCAUACGAUCUACGGAUGAAAGCGGGGGACCUUCGGGCCUCGCGCUAUAGGGUUGGCCGAUGGCUGAUUAGCUAGUUGGUGGGGUAAAGGCCUACCAAGGCGACGAUCAGUAGCUGGUCUGAGAGGACGACCAGCCACACUGGGACUGAGACACGGCCCAGACUCCUACGGGAGGCAGCAGUGGGGAAUUUUGGACAAUGGGCGAAAGCCUGAUCCAGCAAUGCCGCGUGUGUGAAGAAGGCCUUCGGGUUGUAAAGCACUUUUGUCCGGAAAGAAAUCCUUGGCUCUAAUACAGUCGGGGGAUGACGGUACCGGAAGAAUAAGCACCGGCUAACUACGUG